This 71-nucleotide transfer RNA is filed under the name Trichechus manatus latirostris (Florida manatee). Its description in RNAcentral is "tRNA-Ser (GCT) (tRNA-Ser-GCT-11-1)". It matches the Rfam family "tRNA". Rfam says of the family: Transfer RNA (tRNA) molecules are approximately 80 nucleotides in length. Their secondary structure includes four short double-helical elements and three loops (D, anti-codon, and T loops). Further hydrogen bonds mediate the characteristic L-shaped molecular structure. tRNAs have two regions of fundamental functional importance: the anti-codon, which is responsible for specific mRNA codon recognition, and the 3' end, to which the tRNAs corresponding amino acid is attached (by aminoacyl-tRNA synthetases). tRNAs cope with the degeneracy of the genetic code in two manners: having more than one tRNA (with a specific anti-codon) for a particular amino acid; and 'wobble' base-pairing, i.e. permitting non-standard base-pairing at the 3rd anti-codon position. Lineage: Eukaryota; Metazoa; Chordata; Mammalia; Sirenia; Trichechidae. The record is from Rfam by way of RNAcentral.
GCAUUGGUGGUUCAGUGAUAGAAUUCUCACCUGCUGUAUGGGAGUCCCAGGUUCAAUUCCUGGCCAAUGCA